GUAGGCGGUUUAAUAAGUGAAUAGUGAAACCUGGUGGCUCAACCAUACAGACUAUUAUUCAAACUGUUAAACUCGAGAAUGGUAGAGGUAACUGGAAUUUCUAGUGUAGGAGUGAAAUCCGUAGAUAUUAGAAGGAACACCGAUGGCGUAGGCAGGUUACUGGGCCAUUUCUGACGCUAAGGCACGAAAGCGUGGGGAGCGAACCGGAUUAGAUACCCGGGUAGUCCACGCCGUAAACGAUGGAUACUAGCUGUUGGAGGUAUCGACCCCUUCAGUAGCGAAGCUAACGCGUUAAGUAUCCCGCCUGUGGAGUACGGCCGCANGGCUAAAACAUAAAGGAAUUGACGGGGACCCGCACAAGCGGUGGANUAUGUUCUUUAAUUCGAUGAUAACCGAAGAACCUUACCAGGGCUUGACAUCCAGGGAAGGUCUGCGAAAGUAGACUGUGCCUUUUGGAACCCUGUGACAGGUGAUGCAUGGCCGUCGUCAGCUCGUGUCGUGAGAUGUUAGGUUAAGUCCNUCAACGAGCGCAACCCUUNUGAAUAGUUGNAUUUUUCUANUCAGACUGCCUCGGUAACGGGGAGGAAGGAGGGGANGAUGUCAGGUCANUAUUUCCCUUACGUCCUGGGCUACAAACGNACUACAAUGGCUAGUACAAUG
This 660-nucleotide ribosomal RNA is filed under the name uncultured Candidatus Saccharibacteria bacterium. RNAcentral's name for it is "bacterial SSU rRNA". It matches the Rfam family "Bacterial small subunit ribosomal RNA", at positions 571 to 1244 of the family's 1533-position model. Lineage: Bacteria; Candidatus Saccharimonadota. The record is from RNAcentral.